Long non-coding RNA from Mustela lutreola (European mink), 1413 nucleotides. RefSeq lists it as uncharacterized. The record is from RefSeq and is a predicted model, not a curated record. NCBI's taxonomy places the organism in Eukaryota, Metazoa, Chordata, Mammalia, Carnivora, Mustelidae. The transcript has 5 exons.
AACCAGCCUUUGGGGACCCGGAGGUGGCAGCGGUAGGCAGAUGGGGGUGGGGAGCGGCGGCGGGCGGCUCUUUGGCUCACAAAACACCUGAUCUCCCCAUGCGGCAACCGAGACCAGCGCAGUGCGAGGGUGGGGUGACGGGGUGCGAGUGAGAAAUCACACACGGCCCCCUCCCCAAAAUGCCCGUGGAAGCCAGGGUAAGGAAGCCAGAGGGAAGCGGGGACGCCUAAAAGCGGCGGGAGCCACCCGGGAACGGUUUCCUCCUGGGGCGCGCCGGUACGAAGCCGGAACCGGCGAGGAACGGGACUGCGAGGGAGAGGAGUCAGUGCGGAGCAGGGGGAAGCGCGAAGCAGAGAUGGAAAGGAGGUCGCCCCUCUUGCGGUGCGCCUGAUGUUGGGGGACUAAGCCUACAGCCUGGGUAGGACUCCAGUGAUCUUUUCCAGCCAGAACCAGUUUGUGAGUGGGCCUAGACUGGACCACAGCGGGCGUUCCAGUGCUUGGAGAAUUUCCUCGAGGUUCCACGCGCGUCUUGGAAGCCAGAAAAGCAAGGUGUCCAGACGCUGCGCCUUCAACCCGCGCCGCCGCCCAGAAGGGCAGGGCAGACACCUAGGAGCUGAACUCUGACACACACCUUCGGCUCCCCACUACCAGGUGAGGACUUGGCUGGCGUCUACGACUCCCGCCGGCCGAAACACCUGGAACCACAGACGCACCUCGGCCCAGCGCCCCUGCUGGCUCGCCAGAGCACUGCAUUCUAAGGAAGAAAGAGAUCCCCUUUACCUGACCAGACCGACCAGACCCGGCAAUUAAGGACACUCCACCUUCAAAUAUGUGCAUUUUUCAGAAGGCUUUCUGAGGAGGAAUUAGCCGAAGGGGAAAGAAAUGUAAAUGCAGGGAUUUCGGGCACCUAGGAGUUCAGCCUUUUCCACUGUGGGCCCUUACUCUGAUCCAAGCUCCGAGCAAAAGAGUAUUUUGCAGCUGGAUGCACUGAGCCACGUGGGUACAUGCUUUUAGAAACAGGAAUUCGGAGUCAGAUCUGGGAAAAUUUUUAUUUUCAGCCUUCAGACCUUUUUGCUUUUAUGUUGAUCCCAUGAUUCUCCUAAGACUGAAAUAUGAAAGUUCAAGAAACAAGUAGGAUUUUGUAUAUUCAUAGAAAAACAAAAAGGAUGCACUCUGACUGCUAACCACGGGUAUCCCAAGUGUGGGAUUGGAGUGUGGGAAGGAGGGAGAUAAAUUUUAUACCCUUAUACUGACUCUGCAUUUUGUAUUUUUCCAGUUAUAUUAACUGUCACAAUUUAGAAAGGUAAUAAAACAUUUUAAGAAAUAUAGAAAUUAAAAAUUCUUCAAGAACUCUGGAGAAAGUAUAAAUUAAUAAACAAAUGAAGCCUCUGCUUUCAUUCUACAUCAAAGUAA